GACGAACGCUGGCGGCGUGCUUAACACAUGCAAGUCGAACGGAAAGGCCCUGCUUUUGUGGGGUGCUCGAGUGGCGAACGGGUGAGUAACACGUGAGUAACCUGCCCUUGACUUUGGGAUAACUUCAGGAAACUGGGGCUAAUACCGGAUAGGAGCUCCUGCUGCAUGGGGGGGUUUGGAAAGUUUCGGCGGUUGGGGAUGGUCUCGCGGCUUAUCAGCUUGUUGGUGGGGUAGGGGCUUACCAAGGCUUUGACGGGUAGCCGGCCUGGGAGGGUGACCGGCCACAUUGGGACUGCGAUACGGCCCAGACUCCUACGGGCGGCAGCAGUGGGGAAUAUUGCACAAUGGGCCGAAGCCUGAUGCAGCAACGCCGCGUGCGGGAUGACGGCCUUCGGGUUGUAAACCGCUUUCGCCUGUGACGAAGCGUGAGUGACGGUAAUGGGUAAAGAAGCACCGGCUAACUACGUG
This 468-nucleotide ribosomal RNA is filed under the name uncultured bacterium. RNAcentral describes it as "partial 16S ribosomal RNA". It matches the Rfam family "Bacterial small subunit ribosomal RNA", at positions 28 to 507 of the family's 1533-position model. The record is from RNAcentral.